UUAAGCGACUAAGCGUACACGGUGGAUGCCCUGGCAGUCAGAGGCGAUGAAGGACGUGCUAAUCUGCGAUAAGCGUCGGUAAGGUGAUAUGAACCGUUAUAACCGGCGAUUUCCGAAUGGGGAAACCCAGUGUGUUUCGACACACUAUCAUUAACUGAAUCCAUAGGUUAAUGAGGCGAACCGGGGGAACUGAAACAUCUAAGUACCCCGAGGAAAAGAAAUCAACCGAGAUUCCCCCAGUAGCGGCGAGCGAACGGGGAGGAGCCCAGAGCCUGAAUCAGUGUGUGUGUUAGUGGAAGCGUCUGGAAAGGCGCGCGAUACAGGGUGACAGCCCCGUACACAAAAAUGCACAUAUUGUGAGCUCGAUGAGUAGGGCGGGACACGUGGUAUCCUGUCUGAAUAUGGGGGGACCAUCCUCCAAGGCUAAAUACUCCUGACUGACCGAUAGUGAACCAGUACCGUGAGGGAAAGGCGAAAAGAACCCCGGCGAGGGGAGUGAAAAAGAACCUGAAACCGUGUACGUACAAGCAGUGGGAGCCUCUUAAUGGGGUGACUGCGUACCUUUUGUAUAAUGGGUCAGCGACUUAUAUUCUGUAGCAAGGUUAACCGAAUAGGGGAGCCGAAGGGAAACCGAGUCUUAACUGGGCGUUAAGUUGCAGGGUAUAGACCCGAAACCCGGUGAUCUAGCCAUGGGCAGGUUGAAGGUUGGGUAACACUAACUGGAGGACCGAACCGACUAAUGUUGAAAAAUUAGCGGAUGACUUGUGGCUGGGGGUGAAAGGCCAAUCAAACCGGGAGAUAGCUGGUUCUCCCCGAAAGCUAUUUAGGUAGCGCCUCGUGAAUUCAUCUCCGGGGGUAGAGCACUGUUUCGGCAAGGGGGUCAUCCCGACUUACCAACCCGAUGCAAACUGCGAAUACCGGAGAAUGUUAUCACGGGAGACACACGGCGGGUGCUAACGUCCGUCGUGAAGAGGGAAACAACCCAGACCGCCAGCUAAGGUCCCAAAGUCAUGGUUAAGUGGGAAACGAUGUGGGAAGGCCCAGACAGCCAGGAUGUUGGCUUAGAAGCAGCCAUCAUUUAAAGAAAGCGUAAUAGCUCACUGGUCGAGUCGGCCUGCGCGGAAGAUGUAACGGGGCUAAACCAUGCACCGAAGCUGCGGCAGCGACACUAUGUGUUGUUGGGUAGGGGAGCGUUCUGUAAGCCUGUGAAGGUGGCCUGUGAGGGUGGCUGGAGGUAUCAGAAGUGCGAAUGCUGACAUAAGUAACGAUAAAGCGGGUGAAAAGCCCGCUCGCCGGAAGACCAAGGGUUCCUGUCCAACGUUAAUCGGGGCAGGGUGAGUCGACCCCUAAGGCGAGGCCGAAAGGCGUAGUCGAUGGGAAACAGGUUAAUAUUCCUGUACUUGGUGUUACUGCGAAGGGGGGACGGAGAAGGCUAUGUUGGCCGGGCGACGGUUGUCCCGGUUUAAGCGUGUAGGCUGGUUUUCCAGGCAAAUCCGGAAAACCAAGGCUGAGGCGUGAUGACGAGGCACUACGGUGCUGAAGCGACAAAUGCCCUGCUUCCAGGAAAAGCCUCUAAGCAUCAGGUAACAUCAAAUCGUACCCCAAACCGACACAGGUGGUCAGGUAGAGAAUACCAAGGCGCUUGAGAGAACUCGGGUGAAGGAACUAGGCAAAAUGGUGCCGUAACUUCGGGAGAAGGCACGCUGAUAUGUAGGUGAAGCGACUUGCUCGUGGAGCUGAAAUCAGUCGAAGAUACCAGCUGGCUGCAACUGUUUAUUAAAAACACAGCACUGUGCAAACACGAAAGUGGACGUAUACGGUGUGACGCCUGCCCGGUGCCGGAAGGUUAAUUGAUGGGGUUAGCGGUAACGCGAAGCUCUUGAUCGAAGCCCCGGUAAACGGCGGCCGUAACUAUAACGGUCCUAAGGUAGCGAAAUUCCUUGUCGGGUAAGUUCCGACCUGCACGAAUGGCGUAAUGAUGGCCAGGCUGUCUCCACCCGAGACUCAGUGAAAUUGAACUCGCUGUGAAGAUGCAGUGUACCCGCGGCAAGACGGAAAGACCCCGUGAACCUUUACUAUAGCUUGACACUGAACAUUGAGCCUUGAUGUGUAGGAUAGGUGGGAGGCUUUGAAGUGUGGACGCCAGUCUGCAUGGAGCCGACCUUGAAAUACCACCCUUUAAUGUUUGAUGUUCUAACGUUGGCCCCUAAUCGGGGUUGCGGACAGUGUCUGGUGGGUAGUUUGACUGGGGCGGUCUCCUCCUAAAGAGUAACGGAGGAGCACGAAGGUUGGCUAAUCCUGGUCGGACAUCAGGAGGUUAGUGCAAUGGCAUAAGCCAGCUUGACUGCGAGCGUGACGGCGCGAGCAGGUGCGAAAGCAGGUCAUAGUGAUCCGGUGGUUCUGAAUGGAAGGGCCAUCGCUCAACGGAUAAAAGGUACUCCGGGGAUAACAGGCUGAUACCGCCCAAGAGUUCAUAUCGACGGCGGUGUUUGGCACCUCGAUGUCGGCUCAUCACAUCCUGGGGCUGAAGUAGGUCCCAAGGGUAUGGCUGUUCGCCAUUUAAAGUGGUACGCGAGCUGGGUUUAGAACGUCGUGAGACAGUUCGGUCCCUAUCUGCCGUGGGCGCUGGAGAACUGAGGGGGGCUGCUCCUAGUACGAGAGGACCGGAGUGGACGCAUCACUGGUGUUCGGGUUGUCAUGCCAAUGGCACUGCCCGGUAGCUAAAUGCGGAAGAGAUAAGUGCUGAAAGCAUCUAAGCACGAAACUUGCCCCGAGAUGAGUUCUCCCUGACUCCUUGAGAGUCCUGAAGGAACGUUGAAGACGACGACGUUGAUAGGCCGGGUGUGUAAGCGCAGCGAUGCGUUGAGCUAACCGGUACUAAUGAACCGUGAGGCUUAACCUU
RNAcentral lists this ribosomal RNA (2902 nucleotides) under Escherichia coli HVH 194 (4-2356805). Its description in RNAcentral is "bacterial LSU rRNA". It matches the Rfam family "Bacterial large subunit ribosomal RNA". Lineage: Bacteria; Pseudomonadati; Pseudomonadota; Gammaproteobacteria; Enterobacterales; Enterobacteriaceae. The record is from RNAcentral.